This 305-nucleotide ribosomal RNA is filed under the name uncultured bacterium. RNAcentral describes it as "bacterial SSU rRNA". It matches the Rfam family "Bacterial small subunit ribosomal RNA", at positions 333 to 655 of the family's 1533-position model. The record is from RNAcentral.
UGCUACCUACGGGGGGCAGCAGUGGGGAAUAUUGCACAAUGGGGGGAACCCUGAUGCAGCAAUGCCGCGUGGGUGAAGAAGCACUCCGGUGCGUAAAGCCCUGUCAGCAGGGAAGAAAAUGACAGUACCUGGACAAGAAGCCCCGGCUAACUACGUGCCAGCAGCCGCGGUAAUACGUAGGGGGCAAGCGUUAUCCGGAUUUACUGGGUGUAAAGGGAGCGCAGGCGGCGUGGCAAGUCAGAUGUGAAAGGUCGGGGCCCAACCCCGGGACUGCAUUGGAAACUGUUGAACUGGAGUACAGGAGG